RNAcentral lists this transfer RNA (49 nucleotides) under Pelusios gabonensis. RNAcentral describes it as "partial transfer RNA-Leu". Lineage: Eukaryota; Metazoa; Chordata; Testudines; Pelomedusidae. The record is from RNAcentral.
ACUUUCAUAGGACAGAAGUAAUCCUAUGGCUUUAGGAGCCAUCCCUCCU